Molecule: ribosomal RNA, 757 nt
Filed under: uncultured marine bacterium
Lineage: Bacteria
Description: bacterial SSU rRNA
Rfam family: Bacterial small subunit ribosomal RNA
Source: RNAcentral
GCAAGUCGAACGAGAUCCUCGGAUCUAGUGGCGCACGGGUGAGUAACAUGUGGGAAUCUACCUGAAGGUUCGGAAUAACUGCGGGAAACUGUAGCUAAUACCGGAUGUGUCUGCAAAGAGAAAGAUUUAUCGCCUUCAGAUGAGCCCGCACUAGAUUAGCUAGUUGGUGAGGUAACUGCUCCACCAAGGCUACGAUCUAUAGCUGAUUUGAGAGGAUGAUCAGCCACACUGGGACUGAGACACGGCCCAGACUCCUACGGGAGGCAGCAGUAGGGAAUAUUGGACAAUGGGGGAAACCCUGAUCCAGCAAUGCCGCGUGAGUGAAGAAGGCCUUAGGGUUGUAAAACUCUUUCAUCAGUGAUGAUAAUGACAUUAGUUGAAGAAGAAGCUCCGGCUAACUUCGUGCCAGCAGCCGCGGUAAUACGAAGGGGGCUAGCGUUGUUCGGAAUCACUGGGCGUAAAGCGUAUGUAGGCGGAUCAAAAAGUUAGAUGUGAAAUCCCUGGGCUCAACCCAGGAACUGCAUUUAAAACUAGUGAUCUAGAAAUUGGUAAGGGUUAGUAGAAUUUCCAGUGUAGAGGUGAAAUUCGUAGAUAUUGGAAUGAAUACCAGAAGCGAAGGCGACUAACUAGGCCAUUUUUGACGCUGAGAUACGAAAGCGUGGGUAGCAAACAGGAUUAGAUACCCUGGUAGUCCACGCAGUAAACGAUGAGUGCUAGUCGCUGGGACAAUAGUUUCAGUGUCGAAGCUAACGCAUUA